This 402-nucleotide ribosomal RNA is filed under the name uncultured bacterium. RNAcentral describes it as "bacterial SSU rRNA". It matches the Rfam family "Bacterial small subunit ribosomal RNA", at positions 515 to 916 of the family's 1533-position model. The record is from RNAcentral.
CCGCGGUAAUUCGGAGGGUGCGAGCGUUAAUCGGAAUUACUGGGCGUAAAGCGCGCGUAGGCGGUUUGUUAAGUCAGCUGUGAAAGCCCCGGGCUCAACCUGGGAACUGCAGUUGAUACUGGCCGACUAGAGUACGAGAGAGGGAGGUAGAAUUCCAUGUGUAGCGGUGAAAUGCGUAGAUAUAUGGAGGAAUACCGGUGGCGAAGGCGGCCUCCUGGCUCGAUACUGACGCUGAGGUGCGAAAGCGUGGGGAUCAAACAGGAUUAGAUACCCUGGUAGUCCACGCCGUAAACGAUGUCUACUAGCCGUUGGGAGACUUGAUUUCUUAGUGGCGCAGCUAACGCAAUAAGUAGACCGCCUGGGGAGUACGGCCGCAAGGUUAAAACUCAAAGGAAUUGACGG